This 1667-nucleotide long non-coding RNA is filed under the name Equus caballus (horse). Its description in RNAcentral is "lncRNA (ENSECAG00000055590.1)". Lineage: Eukaryota; Metazoa; Chordata; Mammalia; Perissodactyla; Equidae. The record is from RNAcentral.
GAGGGGAGUGCCCUGCUACCCACCUGGAGAGCGGGGAGAGCCUUCCUCGGGGAGCGGCCUGCACUACCAGGGGAGGUCACGAUGGAGAGAACCAGCGGCGAGGGUGGACAGAGUAUACUCCUUGACCCCUGGGCUUUGACCAUGAUUAUGUGACUUGCUUUGGCCCGUGGGAUGUUAGCAGACAGGACACAAGCAGAGGCUUGAAAAGUGCCUGCAAGUUGGAGUUUUCUUCUCUGCUCCUGCCUUUGGCCAUAAGAAGAACAUUUCCUGGGUAACCACUGGACAAGGAAGAUACGGAGACACAUAGAACAGACCUGAACCUGGCCUGUAGCUUGGAACCAAGCCCAGCUGAGCCUGGCUUAGAUUAGCCAACUUGCGAUGUGAUAUUUUUGCUUGAAGACUUGUCAAGUCCUCUCAGACAACCUGAAUGAUUGAUCUAAACCAUCCACUCUACUGGGCAGUCCUGGUGCUGAUUCUGGCCUUCUUUGCACUCACUUCCAAGACAUUUGCAGAAGUGAAAAAACCAGAUAAUCCACCAGAUAUACGUUUGGUUGACAAGGUCAAACAUCUGAAUAUAUGGAAGAUUCUGGAAGCAACAAUGGCUUAAACAAGGUAGGAAUUUAUUUCUCAUUCACAUAAAAUUUGAGUGGCUGUCCACAGUUGAUAUGGUGCUCCAUGCUAUGAAGAACUCUGACUUCUACUGUUGUUGCUCCAUUUGUGGCCUUGACCUCCUGUCCAAGAUGACAGCCUCUACAUUCCAGGCAGCAGGAUAAAGAAGAGGACAAGGAAAAGGAAGAAAAGGAACCUGCGUUGACAGACACUCCACCAUCUCUCAGUGGAUUCACCUGGAACCCAGUGCCUCCAGGACAGCUGUAACAUGGGAAGAGAAAGCACAGAGGCAGGACACCAGCUCCUAAAUGCCUCAGCCUACAAAUGGCAUUCACCAUUUCUACUCUCAGCCCAUUGGCCAGAACUAGUCACCUGGCCUCCACCUAACUAACAAGGAGGCUGGGAAAUGUGGAGAAGCAUUUGAUUAUUAUCAAUGAGCAAUAAAUGUCUCUGCCAUAUGGGUUAAAACUGUUGAAUUCAGUUAAAAAUUGUAUAUGUGUAUAUGCACAGGCAAUGAUUAAUUGCUAUAGCAAAUUGAAGUUUUGACUGAACACUCUGUCAGUAUUUCACAUCCUUUUCUUCCUCCCAACUGACUUACAGGUGGCUUGGAGCCUCAGAUUUCUUCUAUCCCUUCUAUUCCUUCUAUUCCUUCCAUCUUCUAUUCCUGCUAUCAAUUUGUGCUUGACUCUGUGGAUCCACAGUCUUAAAGAAAAGCCAUAGGAACUGAUGCUAGAUUUUCCCAUCUGGCACAGAGGAGGCCUCCUUUUAAGCAAUAAUAAAAAUAGCCUCCAUUUAUAUUUCGUUUUUCCUCCUUUGUCUCUUCUAUUGAAAGAGCCAGUUAAACAAAGUGUGUGCUUUCGGUGCCUGUUAUGUGCUCACUUUAAGAUUUAAUCAACCCUCUGAACCUGCAGCACAACUGCCUCAUAAUGUUAAGUUAAUAUAUUGAGAUCAGCUCAAACCCAUCAUUCCCAGGGGUGGUUUUGUUUAAAGGCUAGUUGUAACUGAAUUUCUAAACAACUGCCAAGCUUUCAAGGUACCAAAAUAAACAUUAUCCAAAC